AAAAGAUCAACCCCAGCCCACUUCAAUAAGUUUCCACUUUCCAAUCAUCUGGACAUCUUCCACCGUCAAAGUUGCCACCUACCGCCGUGGCAGCAACCCCCGAGCUAUCUACUUUGACUUGAGGAUGUUGUUGUGUUAAAAAUAUUGGAUGCAAGACAUGAUGGAGAGUAGCUCAACCUGUUAUUUUUUGGUUGGAAGAUUGGGAUCAUCAAGCUCAAGUUAUUGUAUUUUAUUUAUUUUUUAUUAUUGAUUUUGAUUUAUGUUAUUUUAUUAGAUUUUUAUUAGUUAGUGGUUUUUAAAUUUAAAUUUAAUUUUGAUUAGAGUUUUAUUACUUAUAUGUAAAUUUUUUUCAUAUCAUAAAUUUUGAUGAAUUAAAUAAAAUUUACAAAGUUCUCUUUCUUUAACUUCUUUUCUUCUUAUUAGGCUUCAAAUUCCGCAUCACGUUGUAUGAUUCUCUUUGAACCUCUUGCAUUACGAAGAGUCAGUCAUUUGAUGUUUGGUGUCCACGAAGAAAACCUGGCUUUUGGAGGUUCAAGAAUUGUCAUUGAAUGGAUACAAGAAUUAUAUUGCCCUGGUAUUUUACGCAGUUUCAAGAAUCAGUGCUCUGGUCCUGGUCCAUUUUUUCUUAUGUGCUGUGUAUGAUUAGGCUUUUCUUGUCUUGUGUCAGAAUUAUUGCAUUUUAGGUGAAUUUAGAAUCUUGUGACAGCUAUUAUUUCAAACCAUCCACAGUAGUCGAGCAUCAUAUAUAGUGUUAGGAAAGGCUGGCUUUUUCCAUAUAAAACAAAUAUUGAAUUGGAAACUACAUUGAACAUUGAAGGAGAACUUUACCUCCAAAGUUUGGCCAGUUUCAUUGAGAAAUUGCUUGCAUUUACAUAACCUGUUGAUUUCAAUUAAGCUGCUCAAAUAUCUUGAAUAGCUAUAAAAUCUCCAACCUUGCUUCCUAAUUGCUUUUGGUCCUCAUAUUGACCUGGAAGAGAGUGUGCCCUGCCUUCUUGACUUGUUUAUGAACCUAUCAGAAAUACAGAAAGAGUUUGUGUUGUUAUUUUCUUUUCUUUUUUUUUGGGUAUUUUCUUUUGUCAAGUUUAAAUUUUCUUUAGCUUCCUGGUAAAUCAAGUUAACAAAAAUUCUGCAAUUAUGCUCUGCUUUAUUAUCAUUUCAUUGUGAGUUAUGGGGGGCAGCCCCAUUAGGAUUCUUGUCAAUCACCUCACUAAAUAUAUACUAGUCAGUUUUAGACAGUUUAAACGUAACUACCCUAAUUUACCAUAUCGUCUUUAUUAUUAUGAAGCUUUAUCUUACUAUCUUGGAGCGUGCCUUGUGUAUUUUGGGGUGGUAGGUUUUCUUCCUGAACUUGUUCACCCAUAUGGAUCUGUUCUUCAAGCAGUGAAGAGGGUUGUGUUUUUCUGGGUUGAGUCAUGUCAAACUGAGACAUCUUACGUCAUUAGAUGUAGCAUUUUUAUCAGAAAUGAGUUAGUCUUGCCUGGAUUGUUUGAGGGAAUAUUUCUACACGAUCCCACUUUGUCCCUGUCAAUCAAGUCGCGGGGUACUGGACAGAGAUUGCUGUGCCUCGUAAAAAAGAUUCUAGAAGUUGGACAUCACUUAAUGAGGCAAGUGUUCGGUGAAGAAAGCAAUUAUGUCUACCACUAAUGAACCAUGUGCUUACAUUUGGCUUUUGAAUGUUGAUUGUACACAUUCCCUAUUUGCCAGAUGUGAGAUGGACCUGAAUUUUCGUUUUUUUGUUUACUAUUGUGUUCAUGUAGAUGUAGGCCUAGAUAAGAAGUUAAACUUUCUGGAAGUUAAACAUGAUGCGACAAGUUGAUAGUAGUUAUGAACAGUGAUUUCUUUUUCUUUUUUAUUAUUCUCUAGUCACCUGACUACUUAAAAUCUACCUAAGACUGGCUUUUCAUUUGUUUAUCUGGAUCAUUAAACAGUUUUGACGAUUCUGUAUGGUCAUGGCCCUAAGUGACUUGCAAUUAGAAGAUUUGUGGACCAUUUCUUCUUUCGAAGCUGGAUUAUGAUGUUGCAUAUGCUCCAGUGGAAGAUUAGUUACUGAGGGCGAAUUCUCUUGAAAAUGGAUGAAAAUGAAAGCAAGCCACUUUGUUUGUUGUUACACUUGAAAUGGUUCCAUUCUCUUCGUUUUCCUUUGCCAUUCUUGAUGCAGUUACAAAAGAUGGAAUUGCUUCUUUUCACUUCUAAAACAAUGAGUCUAUGUGCAGUCUGCCGAUGAGUGUAAAUUACUUGGUUUUGUUUUAUCUGUGCAGGAAGCCAAAACCUUUUGAAGUUCCGAAAAAAGUGACCUGAACCUUGCAGCAAGAACAAUUUCCAGAGGAUUUGAGUCUCUCAAUGAAGCAGCAAUAUUCGUUACUGUUUUGAGCAUUCAUUUAUAGAAGAUGCCUGCAUCAUUAAUGUAUUUCUUUCUUUCUGUGCAUGGAUUGUUAUUUUAACUUUGCAUUUCGAGAGUUGCGAGUAGUUAGCUGAUUCCUUUCUCUUCAUAUCAAAUGCAUAUAAAAAUGUAAAUAGAGUAAUGACACACUGCUCAUGUCAUUUUGGCGUGCGUUUGACAUGAAAUUGCAUCAGUAUUAUAUCUAAUUUUUUACUUUGCUGGGAUGGUGAAUCGUUUCCUUUUGUUUCUCUUUUCCUGAUUCUUGAGGCCAUAUCCUUCUCAUCUUCUUUCCAUGCUAUUGGCUUUGUGAGAUCUCCUCUCUAAUGGGUCCCUUUAAAGAAUAAUAAUCGAUGAGAGGCACCUUUGCUUAAAUGACUUUUGAUUCACCAGACCUUCUCCUUCUGACCUAAAAAAAUACGGGGCCCGUUUGGCAUCAUCCCAGAAUCUCCUUUACCUGUUGUGGAAUAAAUUAAAGCAAGAAAGGAGCCUUCAAGUACAGCAGCUGGUUAAAGAGAAAGGGAAAGCGAUUAACGCAGCAAGCUAGACAUUCUGAUUAUAUGGCACCUAUCAGAUGGCAGUUCUUUGGAGAUCAAUCAUUGGAUUUUGAUUCCAGUGAUCAAAGCCCUAAACCGCAACCCAAGAAAUCCAAAUAUCGAUCUGAUUUAAUCGACUUUUACGAUUUGUUGUUGGCCAUUUUGGCUUCCCUUUUUCUUUUUCUUUUUCUUUUCAUUUCCUUUGUUUUCUUUUAUGGGUGAAAAUUUCUUUUCUCAGUUUCUGCAUGGAUAUGGACUACAGGCUUAAAGCUAACAUUCCCUUUGGAGUAUAUUUCUUUAUUUAUUAGCAAGAGACUUUUAUGCUGAGCAGUCCAGUAGAUUGUUUUCA
This is a long non-coding RNA of Populus nigra (black poplar), 3262 nucleotides long. RefSeq lists it as uncharacterized. The record is from RefSeq and is a predicted model, not a curated record. The transcript is spliced from 2 exons. Lineage: Eukaryota; Viridiplantae; Streptophyta; Magnoliopsida; Malpighiales; Salicaceae.